This 214-nucleotide long non-coding RNA is filed under the name Panax ginseng (ginseng). RNAcentral describes it as "long non-coding RNA (PGIN_LNC004104)". Lineage: Eukaryota; Viridiplantae; Streptophyta; Magnoliopsida; Apiales; Araliaceae. The record is from RNAcentral.
UUUUUUUUGGGUGUGUAAUGAAUGAAUGAAAUGAUACUACUAACAUUCAACUGAAAAAAGAAAAGGUUCAGUUUGAGCUGAAAAAUGAGAUGAAUUGGCCAUUUUUUGAUUCUCUAACUUCAUAUGUAUAUGAACACAUGAUCUAAGAUAUAUAGGUUGGUAUGGUAUUUGUUGGGGUAAUCAGCUUAAUUAUUCCUAUUUUGGUUGCUGUUGG